UUUUCUGCUUCCUUUGGCACGUGUGCAGAUGCAGCCUGAAGUGUCUUGUGCAGAUGAUGAAGGCUGGGGGAUUUCCAGGUCAAGCCUUUAGGUCCUGGGCUGGUGGACAAGCAGAAAUACAAAUAUCAGGGUUACAGAUAGAUACAACCUUUUGUCUGAGCAUUUUUUCCAGGAAGUCAGGGUUACUGUGCUAACAUUUAAGAUGCUUCACCUCUGUAUUUAAAUAGAAGCCUUGUCUAAACACUUUUAAAAAUCUGUCCUCACAGGUGUUUAGCUUUAGUGAUGUCAGGACAGAGUCAGUGCUGUGGACACAAUUAGGAAGAUUUUCUUGGUUUUUCUUUUUAUUUGGGAGUAGGUUCUUGUCUUUGCAGCAUGCCCAGUGCUUUUGGGCAAUCACACCACAGAGAUUGCUUUUGAUUUCUAAAUUAGUAUUGAUUAGAAGUCAUCUUUUUGUUACUUGUAGUGAGUAACACAGAGGGAAACAUCUGCUAGAAGGGAAGAAAAGAGCUCUGACUUUCAGGAAGCCUCUUCCCUGUCACACUCACCUUGGACUACCUCAACAGUCAAUUUACAGGAGACUGAGGGUGAGAGAGCACUGUAGCAAAGGUGCUGUGGGUAGGUGGGACCUCCAAGGAUUUUCUCAUCAGUUUUAUCAUGGAGAGAGCAAGGAAAGGGGCAAAGAUGAAUCCUGAGAUCUUUUGAAGAGGCAGGUGCUACACUAUUACCAGAAAUCAGAAGAAGACAAGAGAAAUAGCUUCUGUGAGAUACCUUCAUGAUUAAAGGUGCUCAGCACACAGAGGUGCUCCCAUGGCAGCUGGCAUGUGUGGCUUCUGUGGUGGCAGUGCCACAACUGGCCACACACAGCUCAGUGGGAUGUGCUGGCUGAGUCCAGAGCAAUCUCUUAAGCUCAGAGAUACUUCUUGAGCUACAUGGAGAAGCUGAGGGAUGUGAACAGCCUCUGUCUCGAGACAGCCACUCAACUGUGAAAGAUUUCAUUUCCAUCUGGAGACUCGUGCCGAGAGAAAAGGAAGGUCAUCCCUUGCAAAUGGACAACAAAAGCACUUCAGGCAGCAAUUGCUGGUUUGCUACAAGUGUUAAAAGCCAGGACAAUGGAGCUGUGGCUGGUUAGGAAAAAGAAAACGUGGAACAAAAGAACAAUUUUAUCCUGGUUACAAGGAGGUUGCAAGAGAAGCCACUGUAAAUACACCUGGACUGAACUGAGCCAUGCUGUCUUCAAAGAAACAAGCUGUAUCUGGGAAGAAUAACAAAAGUUGCCUAACACCACAGAAAGCUGGGAGAGUGCAAUGUAUCCAUCUUCCUGCUGCUCUGGUGUACUUUCCUGGAAAGGAUGCACUUGCCCCUACCCUGUCCAGGUGAGGCUCAGCCUUGCAGGUCUCUGUGAGGGGACUCUGUGAUUUGUUGUGGAUCUAGAGCUGUGCAGUGGUGCUUGCACACGUUUUCCAGAUGUUUAUUGCCUGUGUGUUUAAGGCUGCAUUUGCUGUGGCGGUUCCUGAAGCUGUUCUAGGUACAUCUGAGGGGAUGAAGAGUUGAACAUUGAAAUGGCAGUUUGCAGUUCAUGAAAAUAGGCAAAGGGAAAGGACUUGGGAGAAUGGGCUGGUUUUCAACCUCAAUGUCCACCUCCACCUACCAGUGUGAGAUGGCCUAAACUGCUCAGUGAUCCCUCACAUCUCAUGGGAAUCUUGAUUAUGAAACACUGCCAGAGUGAUGCUCAGUGCACCCUCUGCUCACUUGCUAGGAUGAGGCAUCUUUUAGCAGCACUAGAACUGCCCAAAAUGCUGUGAGUCAACAUGCACCUACAUUUGGCACCACCAGGACCUGCUCCCAUGCAGAGUGGUUGUGUGGUGUUAAUGUGCAUUUCCAGUGCUCAGACUCUUUUUCCAUCCAUCUAUCAAAUUGAGCAUGACCAAGAAGGCAGAACUCAUUACAGCUGUUGUUGAGGUGGUAUAAACCUAGAACUGGAACUAAAGGACAUAAAAUUGCUUGAAUUUACUGCUUGUAAUUAUUUUGUAGUUAAACAGAUGCCUCCCACUAAAGGGUGAAUAACAAUUUCAUAAUACCAGUGUGAGCCACCUCAGGCUAAUUUUGUUUCCAGCCCAUGGUGAUGGGAAUAAGCAGCCAAGCCCUGCUUCCAUCUCUGGGCCACCCUGUAUAGAUACUCAGUGAAAACACACUGAAAAUGCUGUCUCCUUCCCCUGAGUGAGGAGGCUGUUAGAUCAAGUGCAGUAUUAUGAUAUCGGCCAUAAGCUGCCUCUGAGGUCACGGUUUCUCGACAGCCUUACUGAGCCAGAGGUUCUCUGUGCCUUAGGAGCAGCUUCAGACGUAAGCAGGCAGCUCAGAGGCUGGGAGAAGGAGCUUCUGCUGUGCUAUCUACAGAGAAACAGCAAGUGGACACAACAAUAACAGUAAUAAUCUCAUUGAACCACAAAUCACAGAGUGGCUGAGGCUUGAAGGGACACAUGGAGGUCAUCUGAUCCAAUCCUUCCUGCUAAGCAGGCUGACUGGGAUCACAUCCAGAUGGCUUUUGAGAAUCUCCAGUGAUGGAGACUGCACAACCCCUCUGGGAAAACUGCCUGUGCUCAGUUAGUGUCAUACUAAAAAAGCUAUCAAACUUGGCUUCUGUGUACCGGGUCAGAACUUAACUGGAGCCAUCCUUGCAGCUGAUUUAGUCAGCAGUCCACUCUUCUGCUCUGCACAGAGUUCUCCAAGACCCUGAAUCUGCCAUUCUCUUCUUGGGAUAUUAUGGACUGCACCAGGCUGACAAGAUGGAUGGAUGUUUUCAGACUGGAAGAAAACUUUUAUGGGUUUUUUCCCCCUCUUCCAACAUUUUUUUGAAAAAAAUCCCUAAAAAUCAUGACCCAAAGCCUGGGUGGCACAGUGUGGCAGCAGCUCUCUGGCCACAGAGAGAAGCACAACUUUCCCAGGAAUUGUCCUGGGGAAGGCUGUGAGAAGAUCAGAGAAAAGAAUGAUAAGCAAUUCUUAUCUUAACUUGCUGCACCUGUUGUUGUGAACAUGUGGAAUGUGUUAUGGAGAUUUGUUGACCAAAGGGUGGUUUCUUAAUUAGCCAGUGGUGAUGGUGUUUGGACUGGAGGACCAAUUGGGUGCACCUGUAUUGUGAGUAUCUGUAAGGGAAUGGGUUUCUUAGUAAAUAAAGUGAUUGAUCAGCCUUCUGUGAA
This is a long non-coding RNA of Haemorhous mexicanus (house finch), 3194 nucleotides long. RefSeq lists it as uncharacterized. The transcript has 8 exons. The record is from RefSeq and is a predicted model, not a curated record. Lineage: Eukaryota; Metazoa; Chordata; Aves; Passeriformes; Fringillidae.